Molecule: long non-coding RNA, 308 nt
Organism: Saccostrea cuccullata (small rock oyster)
Lineage: Eukaryota; Metazoa; Mollusca; Bivalvia; Ostreida; Ostreidae
Exons: 3
Source: RefSeq, a predicted model, not a curated record
GUUUGUUAGAGUUAUUUGUUAGAGAGGUUUGUUAGAGUUAUUUGUUGGAAGUUUGUUAGAGUUAAUUGUUAGAGGUGUAUGUUAAAGUUAGUGCGCCCUUGCGAACUUAGCCUGGGACCGAAAGGUGCCCAGUAUCCGUCUGCUUCCACGUGGAGGCAUCGCAUAGGACUUGUUGUGGAGAGGCUAUGUACUGGCUGGGGAAGACAUAAAAAUUCCUCCCUUUUCGCAUUGCUGCUAGCCAGCGGUGAUGGCUGAAAGCGAGAGGUGACAUGCACACAGACACUAAUGCCAACACACUAGACGCGUCA